This is a long non-coding RNA of Onychostoma macrolepis, 751 nucleotides long. RefSeq lists it as uncharacterized. The transcript has 3 exons. Lineage: Eukaryota; Metazoa; Chordata; Actinopteri; Cypriniformes; Cyprinidae. The record is from RefSeq and is a predicted model, not a curated record.
UUUGUGGGCUGCUGUAACAAUAUGAGACGUUGAAUGUACUGUUGACAAAAGUACACAAAGUUAGACAAUUUCCAUCACCUUUAUGGAAAGCGAUAAGAUGUCAUGGAGCUGGAGCUUUGCCGAUAAUUUGCGUGGAAACUGCCCCCGUGGUGCGUCAUCCUAACCUUAUACCCUCCCAAUGUUUGUUUCGAUCAUUUUAACCUGUUGCUGAACUAAAAUCAUCACGAAGACAUACAUGUAAAGCGGAAAGAUAACUCCCAGGUAGCAAUCCCACUCAAAAAAUGUUGUUCUUGGGGAAAGUUAAAUAUGACUGCACGUGACUAGCUAGUUCACGCGGCAGACAAAAUUGGUUGCACGAGCUAUAACCCUUUCACGCGCCGGCGGUAAUUUAUUUCUCGGCACUGGCUUGGUUUGACAGGAAAAUAAAGUAAGGACAGGAGCAAUGAAAGAUGUAACAACAGUCCCCGUAAACUACGACACAGGAAAAACUCCUCUUCAACUACAGUGAUGUGUGAGUGUUAGUGGUAUCCGGUGUGGCUGGACGGGUGUUAGCCAGUUUCAUCCCAAAUCUCCACCCAACAUAGCUGCUGCCCAGAGAUUAACUCUACCACAUAGAUCUUUGUCUCUCUGGAAGUGAUUAAACCAGAGGGGCAGCCUGAAACGAUUACAGAUAACAUUGAUGAAGUCCCAUCGUUUGAAGUGCAGCCUUUUCCUGGGUCUCAUAUGCUUGUGCAAAUGUUUCUUCUUCCUC